Molecule: ribosomal RNA, 205 nt
Filed under: uncultured bacterium
Lineage: Bacteria
Description: partial 16S ribosomal RNA
Rfam family: Bacterial small subunit ribosomal RNA
Source: RNAcentral
UGUGUAGGUGGCGCCGUAAGUCGGGUGUGAAAUUUCGGAGCUUAACUCCGAAACUGCAUUCGAUACUGCGGUGCUUGAGGACUGGAGAGGAGACUGGAAUUCAUGGUGUAGCAGUGAAAUGCGUAGAGAUCAUGAGGAAGACCAGUGGCGAAGGCGGGUCUCUGGACAGUUCCUGACACUGAGACACAAGGCCAGGGAGCAAACG